RNAcentral lists this ribosomal RNA (793 nucleotides) under uncultured bacterium. Its description in RNAcentral is "bacterial SSU rRNA". It matches the Rfam family "Bacterial small subunit ribosomal RNA", at positions 8 to 796 of the family's 1533-position model. The record is from RNAcentral.
AGAGUUUGAUCAUGGCUCAGAUUGAACGCUGGCGGCAUGCCUUACACAUGCAAGUCGAACGGCAGCACGGGGGCAACCCUGGUGGCGAGUGGCGAACGGGUGAGUAAUACAUCGGAACGUGUCCUGUAGUGGGGGAUAGCCCGGCGAAAGCCGGAUUAAUACCGCAUACGCUCUACGGAGGAAAGGGGGGGAUCUUAGGACCUCCCGCUAGAGGGGCGGCCGAUGGCAGAUUAGCUAGUUGGUGGGGUAAAGGCCUACCAAGGCGACGAUCUGUAGCUGGUCUGAGAGGACGACCAGCCACACUGGGACUGAGACACGGCCCAGACUCCUACGGGAGGCAGCAGUGGGGAAUUUUGGACAAUGGGCGAAAGCCUGAUCCAGCAAUGCCGCGUGUGUGAAGAAGGCCUUCGGGUUGUAAAGCACUUUUGUCCGGAAAGAAAUCCUCUGCCCUAAUAUGGCGGGGGGAUGACGGUACCGGAAGAAUAAGCACCGGCUAACUACGUGCCAGCAGCCGCGGUAAUACGUAGGGUGCAAGCGUUAAUCGGAAUUACUGGGCGUAAAGCGUGCGCAGGCGGUUCGCUAAGACAGAUGUGAAAUCCCCGGGCUUAACCUGGGAACUGCAUUUGUGACUGGCGGGCUAGAGUAUGGCAGAGGGGGGUAGAAUUCCACGUAGCAGUGAAAUGCGUAGAGAUGUGGAGGAAUACCGAUGGCGAAGGCAGCCCCCUGGGCCAAUACUGACGCUCAUGCACGAAAGCGUGGGGAGCAAACAAGGGAUUAGAUACCCCCGUAGUCC